AGUGGUGGAAUGAGGGGGUUGAGGUGAUGCCGGCGAUACUGAUCGAAGUCGAAACGGCCAGCGGUCGCGCCUUCACGCUCCGGCGAGUGAAGAAACGACGAGAACCUGAGUUAGGCGUGUGAGCCUCACGCGCUUGGAUUCCGGCGACCGGAUCAGAUGGGACGGCCUGGCGGCGGCCAAGGUGUCUCUUGAGCUGGGUGGUGAGAACAAAUAAUCACCCUAGAUAGAUGACCUGCUC
RNAcentral lists this unclassified non-coding RNA (238 nucleotides) under Hevea brasiliensis (rubber tree). Lineage: Eukaryota; Viridiplantae; Streptophyta; Magnoliopsida; Malpighiales; Euphorbiaceae. The record is from RNAcentral.